RNAcentral lists this ribosomal RNA (495 nucleotides) under uncultured bacterium. RNAcentral describes it as "partial 16S ribosomal RNA". It matches the Rfam family "Bacterial small subunit ribosomal RNA", at positions 28 to 507 of the family's 1533-position model. The record is from RNAcentral.
GACGAACGCUGGCGGCGUGCCUAAUACAUGCAAGUAGAACGCUGAAGGAGGAGCUUGCUUCUCUGGAUGAGUUGCGAACGGGUGAGUAACGCGUAGGUAACCUGCCUGGUAGCGGGGGAUAACUAUUGGAAACGAUAGCUAAUACCGCAUAAUAGUAGAUGUUGCAUGACAUUUGCUUAAAAGGUGCAAUUGCAUCACUACCAGAUGGACCUGCGUUGUAUUAGCUAGUUGGUGAGGUAACGGCUCACCAAGGCGACGAUACAUAGCCGACCUGAGAGGGUGAUCGGCCACACUGGGACUGAGACACGGCCCAGACUCCUACGGGAGGCAGCAGUAGGGAAUCUUCGGCAAUGGACGGAAGUCUGACCGAGCAACGCCGCGUGAGUGAAGAAGGUUCUCGGAUCGUAAAGCUCUGUUGUAAGAGAAGAACGAGUGUGAGAGUGGAAAGUUCACACUGUGACGGUAUCUUACCAGAAAGGGACGGCUAACUACGUG